ACAUAGUAAACUUUGCAAUGCAAUUGAAGUUGAAUUAUAGAAAAGUUUGGGCCCUCCACCUCACAUUGAUGGUUACAUUGACCCCUUUGGUUCCCCAUGCACCAUUUCUUUUCAUCAUUCUUUCAAAAGCCUACCAAAUUACUCCUUCAUAGCACAUCCACCUGUAAACCAUAUUCAAGAGAAUGCUAUACAUCAUGCAUACCUCCC
RNAcentral lists this long non-coding RNA (207 nucleotides) under Vigna radiata. RNAcentral describes it as "long non-coding RNA (VRAD_LNC013270)". Lineage: Eukaryota; Viridiplantae; Streptophyta; Magnoliopsida; Fabales; Fabaceae. The record is from RNAcentral.